RNAcentral lists this long non-coding RNA (1575 nucleotides) under Homo sapiens (human). Its description in RNAcentral is "HSALNT0400975". The record is from RNAcentral. Lineage: Eukaryota; Metazoa; Chordata; Mammalia; Primates; Hominidae.
GGGCAGGGGCCCGGCGGAAGCGCCGCUCUAGGCUGCAGCCGCGCCCCCAGCCGUAUUUCCGCGGGCGCUGAGCACUAGAGAGAGCGUCUUGUGGCUGCGGCCUGCCCCUCAGCCUCCUCCGCGCGGUUACCCCUGUACCCGCCGCCAUCCGUCCUGGCGCUCCGGAUGAGUCAAUGAGGGGCAGGGCCCGAGGAGUGGUCUUCCCAAGAACCCCUGGUGGCCUCCCAAGGCCGGUGCUGUGUACCUCCUCCCCGACAAAAGGGGAAACUGAGGCCCCGAGGGGAGUGGGAAGAGCCGGCUGGACGUCAGGCCCAGCCGCUGGUGCAGUGGUCCGUCCCCUCUGCCGGGGUGGGCCCCUCGGGUUUCGCGUGUCCUCGGGAAAGAGACUGGCGGGUGAGCCGCGCCCUCGGCCUUCGCUGGGCUAAGCCGACCCCAUGCAGACGUCAAACCCCCCUAGGUCGGCACAGCCUCUCUGCGGGGAGGCUUAGUGCCCCCUUGAGAAACGGCUUGGCAACGCUGUGCCCGGGGCCUUGCACGCGGGCUGAGGGGGCUAGAGACCUCGCGACUUUUACUCCCCCGACCCCGAUCUCCGACUCCUGACUUUGGAAGCCCCCAAAGCUGCUUUUCGGUUGCCUACAAAGUGUCGGUCAUUGUGCCACGUCCUUGGAACCGUGAACUCAUUUUCUCCUCAAUAACCUUUAAAAAGUAGCUGUAAAACCUCCAUUUUACAGACCAGUUGGCUGAGGUUUAAAUGGAGGACGCUCCCAGGGCCCCAGAGGGGCGAAUUCCAGACUCCUUUGCCAGGACCUUGUACUAAGCCCCUUCCCUACGCUUUUCCCUGCCUAGGCCUCGUGGGCUGUGCGGCUAUCCUGGAGACAGAUGACAGCUCUCCCUUGGAUGGCUUUGCUGGUUCCGCACCAGCCAGCGCCCCCAUUUUUCCUGCAGCACCCUGAUCUGCACUCCCUGAGGGGCUCCCACUGUCCGCGGUGUGAGGAUGUCCCUGGAUAGUCCACUGUGUGCAGAGGCAUGGGAGUUGUCAUGUUGGGAACAUGCUAGACCUCAGUAUCCUUGAGGGAUGCUGCCUUGGGUCUGGAAACUGUUAGAGGAAACCCCAAGAGGUGCAGGCACUGAGCCUCUCAGGACAAUGACCUGGGGUCCCAGCUCCCCUGGAGGGGCCUCCUCAUGAUUGUUUGGGGGUUGAUCACAGACCAAGAGUGACGAGUGAUGUCACCCUGUGACUCAUGGCUGGACCUUCUUGCCCCUAUUGUCUCAGCACAACAUUAUUCGACUUUUCCCUCAGCGUGGGUGGGCAGAGGAAAAGCCCUGUGGCUCUGGGGACUUGGGAUCCAGAGUUGAAGACCCUUCAGCUGGCUCUGCCCUGCCAGUGCCACAGAGUGCCAUGGCCCAGGAAGACAGGUUUUCUUCCAUCUAGGCCAGGCCAUCCAGUGGCCAUCCUCCGUGUCCUCCCGCCUCCUCCUGGUGUGACUUCUGAAAACCAAGAAUUUGUUCCUGUUGACUUUUUCUGUGCUAUGGACCAUUGUCCUCUCACCCACUCAAUAAAUCUUGAAACAUGCC